AUACGUAGGGGGCGAGCGUUGUCCGGAAUGAUUGGGCGUAAAGGGCGCGUAGGCGGCGUGGUAAGUCUGGAGUGAAAGUCCUGCUUUCAAGGUGGGAAUUGCUUUGGAUACUGUCGCGCUUGAGUGCAGGAGAGGAUAUCGGAAUUCCUGGUGUAGCGGUGAAAUGCGUAGAGAUCGGGAGGAACACCAGUGGCGAAGGCGGGUAACUGGACUGCAACUGACGCUGAGGCGCGAAAGUGUGGGGAGCAAACAGGAUUAGAUACCCUGGUAGUCCACACUGUAAACGAUGAAUGCUAGGUGUAAGAGGUAUCGACCCCUUUUGUGCCGGAGUCAACACAAUAAGCAUUCCGCCUGGGGAGUACGGCCGCAAGGUUGAAACUCAAAUGAAUUGACGGGG
Molecule: ribosomal RNA, 397 nt
Filed under: uncultured bacterium
Lineage: Bacteria
Description: partial 16S ribosomal RNA
Rfam family: Bacterial small subunit ribosomal RNA
Source: RNAcentral